This is a long non-coding RNA of Aphis gossypii (cotton aphid), 380 nucleotides long. RefSeq lists it as uncharacterized. The record is from RefSeq and is a predicted model, not a curated record. The transcript is spliced from 2 exons. Lineage: Eukaryota; Metazoa; Arthropoda; Insecta; Hemiptera; Aphididae.
GUGCCACGUACAAUCAGUUGAAUGAUGUCGAUUUGGAAAGGUUUUGUGAAAUAAUUGAACUCUCGAAAUUAUUCUAAGUGUUUUUUAUUUAAAAUUAUUCUAAGUCCAAUUAAUUAAUUUAAUAAAACUUGUGAAAAAUAUUCUAAGUCCAGGAGACAUAAAAUAUUAAACUGGGUGACGUGAAGGUGCUUGCGCUAACUCUGGUGGAUCACGUCUGAAUUGUGCCUAAUCUGGGCCCCCUUAUAUAUCGUCCAGGGACUCCCGCGGUACCUUCAGAUCCCUGAUGGUCAUCUGCACCUGCAUCCGCUUCUGCCCACGCUUUGCGUCAUCCGGCCGAUAGCGUGCGUCAAUUAUAUGACUAUAAUAUUCUAUCGGGUGAG